GAUGAAGAACGUAGCGAAAUGCGAUAAGUAAUGUGAAUUGCAGAAUUCAGUGAAUCAUCGAAUCUUUGAACGCACAUUGCGCCCCCUGGCAUUCCGGGGGGCAUGCCUGUUCGAGCGUCAUUUCACCACUCAAGCCUCGCUUGGUAUUGGGCAACGCGGUCCGCCGCGUGCCUCAAAUCGACCGGCUGGGUCUUCUGUCCCCUAAGCGUUGUGGAAACUAUUCGCUAAAGGGUGUUCGGGAAGCUACGCCGUAAAACAACCCCAUUUCUAAGGUUGACCUCGGAUCAGGUAGGGAUACCCGCUGAACUUAAGCAUAUCAAUAAGCGGAGGA
RNAcentral lists this unclassified non-coding RNA (331 nucleotides) under soil metagenome. RNAcentral describes it as "partial contains 5.8S ribosomal RNA, internal transcribed spacer 2, and large subunit ribosomal RNA". The stretch from base 1 to 120 matches the Rfam family "5.8S ribosomal RNA", at positions 35 to 154 of the family's 154-position model. The record is from RNAcentral.